Molecule: long non-coding RNA, 2868 nt
Organism: Triticum urartu
Lineage: Eukaryota; Viridiplantae; Streptophyta; Magnoliopsida; Poales; Poaceae
Source: RefSeq, a predicted model, not a curated record
GUCUUGGUCCCCCCAACACUUUCUACCUAGCUCCGCCACUGCAGGAGGUGGCCGCCGUUGUGGCCAUGGAGGGCUCGCCAGCCGCCUUCGGAGUCCCACAACCCCAAGCUUGACGGGAUUUCCAGGCGCCGUCCCAACCCUCCGUACUCACACUUCCACCUCUCGAACACCUCGCGAGCCGCCAUCUUCAGCCGUCCCCAAGCGAGUCGACAUCUCUUCCCAACCCGGCGCACAAGAUUCUCCAUGCUCAAAUCAAGAUCAAGGCUAUGAGGACGUUCUCAAAUAGAGAGAUCAGUCUGAGGGUGAGCCCACGGAGGGCGCUUGUGUUGAUAGAGCACGCUGGUGGAGGUCGACCACAACUCGGCUGGCGCAACAGUGAGUUAUAGGGGCAGCUAUGGGAGCCGAUGUUGGGGGAGCACGGAGGCCUUUGCAGGGAUUGCAUUGGUGUGCUGCGGGAUGAGCUGGAGUUGGCUCCUGGCGGUGUUGGUUCAGGCUGAUGUGUGCAUCACCAAACGAAGAAGUAGGCAUCCACUGAGAAGAAAUUCAUCAGAGUUCUCAAGUUGAAGUCAAAUUGACCAGCUACGUUUUAAAGGUAACAUCUAGAUUAUAUCUAAGAUGAUAGUUUGAUCCGCAGAUUGGAAGAAAUCGCACAUAGUAGAUGCAGUUUGUAUUUUAGAAAUAAAGGCAACAGUUUAAAUUGAGAUCUGGGACUAAGUGGUUCAUAAUUUAUACAUGUCCCCAACGUUAAUAUUGCAGUCUUUGUCAUACGCUUUGCAAUGGUAUUGGUUUUGGUUAAUUCUGAAUUAAAAUCUUUUAAAAGUAGAGCAACCAAAAGUAGAAUUUUGUUUCGCAUCUAUAAUAGCAUCACUCGAAGCCUAGAAAUUCUACUUUUAGAAAUUUUGUUUCUGAUUAUUUGCACAUGGGACUAUUAGUACUGAUGCUACAACUGAAGCCUAGAAAUUUUUACUCACCAUGCACGACCAAAUGUGGUGCCAAGAGUUGACAUCUAACUUGCAUGCAUUAGUAGUAAUUUCUGCACCUGUUUGAAACUGUCUUAUACGGAUAAAAUAAACAAUAUUUUCCAUGGGUUUUUAAACUGAGUGAUACAGUUUCUAGAGUGGUGGUUUGAGGUAUGUUACUAACUUUUCUAAAUGUUGUUACUGUCUUCUUUAACGCUGGGGUUCCCCUGCUCUUCAUGGAAGUUGCUCUCGUCAAAGACAUGGUCACAUUUUACUUUUUUGAAGAAGAGAAGACAUGUCACAUCUAUAAAGGUUAUUGAAGUUUGGCAUGGCACUCUACUCCGUUGCACCUUAUGUUCUACAGCAGUAGAUUUUGUUAGAUGUCCCUCCAAUUACUGAAUGUGAAGCUAAAUGUGCACUGUUUUACUCAUAUCGUCAACCCAUGUCAACAAGGUUUAUGAGGUCCCUGAGUUUUGUGGCGGCACAGAUCCUUUCUUCCCUGCAUCACCCUCCACACCUUAACAACCACUCAUUUGAAGACAGAAAUGGUGCUCCAAGGCCCAAACCUGUUCAACCCUGGCUCAUGGCAACUAUGGUUUGCUCCGUAGCGAACCAUGGGAAUGGGUCGCGAGCGCAAGAAGCAUCAUCGAUGGCGCCAAUAACAUCCAGCAAUACACUGAUGUGUCCUUCCCAACGGUGGUUCACUUCUUUUCCCAGCCUCAUAUAUACUGCAUUACUGCGUAUGUAGGUGGUGACAGUAUGACAACGACAACAGGGGAAAUAGGUUUUAUUAGAUUAUCUAUCACAAAAGUGUAUUCAGUGGAGCAAGGCAUGCAGAUUUAACUAAUCGGUAAAUUAAACCUUGAAUCUGAAUGAAGGGCUCCUUGAUUUAUUUGUCCACAAGUAGUCCAAUGAUUCAUUGCUUUAGACUUCAGUGUUUUUUGAUUAUUACGGGCAACAACCCUGCUUUUGAGCACGCCCAAACAAGUUGAAUCAGGAUCUCUUCUUUUGGUUGUUCAAGUUUGUGGUAAAUUAUAAUGAACGGUUGUAUUUCCAGUGGCACCUAAAUAUAUUGGUUGGUCUGCACCGUACUCUGCUCGUAUUGAUUGAUGAUCACAAGUCACAACCCAAUCUUAAAUAUAUUUGAUUUGUUUCGUUUAGUGUUGGAUGGUGCAAAUUAAAAGAAAUUGUACUGCCAUUCAUCAAUUUACUACUCAGUCAGGCCUGAAUGCAUGACUUCUGUCUGUUAGAGAAUCUGCGCCUGAAUGCGUCGUCGCCUGGACUUUUGGAUCUUAUCCAAUUGUCUGGUCAUCAUUCCGUUAGCUGUUUGACUGGAGCACAUUCUCUCUCUCGAGGAGGCGAUGAAUCUAACUGAACCUUCUUAGCUUAGAAACAAAAGUCGUUCUCUCGAUGAACCGAGAAUUAUUGCGGUCAAUUUGUCAGCCAUUGUCUUCCUUCUGUACUUCAAUUCUUAGUUUGUGUUGAGUUGGGGGCUUUUUACAGUUGAGGACACUCAUCUUGCUAAUUAAAUUGUGUGGAAAAUCUUACAUGGGCAGUUUAAUUGUGUGAUUGCUGAGUGGUCCAGUGAGUAGUGCUUCUAUAAGCAAGGGAAUGAUAGAAUGAUGCACGAUUCUGCAGGUUAUACGAGCCGCUGACAAAGACACACCUCUAUUCUGAAUUUUUACAUGCGAAGAUGGACCAUCAGCUACGGAAUAUGUUGGCUAACCUCUCACAGGUUGCUAACAAAUUUUUUCUUAUUUUCAUCUUGGUAAUUGACAUUGGUGGUAUUGUCUUUUAGUUCAACAGAAAGUUGUUCAAGUGAAAAUGCAGAGGAACAUGUGGAACAAAAGACAUGGUAUAAAAAGGAACGGAAGGACUAAACAGUACAAUGAUGCAGGUUCAGGUUUCA